GCCUGUGAUUUAUUGUGCUCUGACGCCACCCAGUGGCCUUCUAGUACAGCUCAAACACGGACAGUGCAAAACAGAUCCUUGGGAUGUCCUUACCCUAAACCCUAACCUUAACUAGAACCAUAACCAUUACCUACCCCUAACCAAUUUAAAUGUCAACUUCAAUGGGAUAUGGACGUCCCAAGGACUCCGGAUAGCACGGACCGCUCAACCACAGCGUAUGGAAGGAUUUUCCCACGGUUAUGAGGCUAGUACUGAAUUUCAGUUGGAUACAGGGAAAUUGUGUCGAUAUCGGUGGAUCCUAUUUCUUUCGUGAAGGAUGGAAAAGCAUACAUAUCCCAGAAACAACGCGCUGUGCCGCUAAAUUUGGAGCGUUGAGAAGUGACUACAUUGUGCGCACUUUUUGCAGAUAUUUUCUGAAACACAUCGGUGCCCAACAUUAGCCUUUCAUUGCUAAAGCCCCACUUCCUAGAGUUCAACAUCAUCAUGAUCAGGGGUAACAGUGGGUUGAAGCCCAAAGACAAUGAAAUUAACCCUAAACCCUGGCCAAUCAACUACCAGGUUAGCAUGUUGAAUACUUCAGUGUGGUUUGACAGUCCCAUAAAAAUAUUAACUUAUCACUGUGCCUUUGUUCUGUUUCUGUAAAGGGAUAGAGGUUCUCAGGAGUGAAUGAGACAGAAUACCGUGUCUACCAGUUAGGGAACCCUGUGAUCUGGUGGCUGAACCUGGUCAGUCUGGGCCUGUAUGUGGUUAUGGUGGCAGCAGCCUCUCUGGCCCGCCGCAGAGGAGUCCAGCUGGACAAGAGAAAAAGCAUUGUUGCGUGCUGAUGGAAGGUGGAGGACUGCUGUUCCUGAGCUGGCUGCUGCACUACGUACCCUUCUACACCACAGGCCACAUCCUUUACUACCACCACUACUUCCCUGCCAUGCUCUUCAGCAGCAUGCUAACAGAUACAGUGGGCCUACCACAAAAACACAUGCUCCCCAUAAUUCCCCCGGUUAGUAUAGGUCCUUGGAGUGGAAGGUUGGGAGUUCGAUUCAUACCAAAAGACAAAAAAUAUGAUCCGAUGCGUCUCUGCCUGGAGCCACCACAGCAUCAAGGAGAUCGAUUGGGGGUAAGGCCAUCAAGCUGCCUCAUGCUGCAGAAACAGGAGGUAGGCUCCUGCUCCAAUGAGCUGUUCCGGCUUGCACAAGGCUACUUACAGUUGAAGUCGGAAGUUUACAUACACUUAGGUUGGAGUCAUUAAAACUAAUUUUUCAACCACUCCACAAAUUUCUUGUUAACAAACUAUAGUUUUGGCAA
This is a non-coding RNA of Oncorhynchus mykiss (rainbow trout), 1299 nucleotides long. The record is from RefSeq and is a predicted model, not a curated record. Lineage: Eukaryota; Metazoa; Chordata; Actinopteri; Salmoniformes; Salmonidae.